This 440-nucleotide ribosomal RNA is filed under the name uncultured bacterium. RNAcentral's name for it is "partial 16S ribosomal RNA". It matches the Rfam family "Bacterial small subunit ribosomal RNA", at positions 338 to 795 of the family's 1533-position model. The record is from RNAcentral.
CCUACGGGAGGCAGCAGUGGGGAAUAUUGGACAAUGGGGGAAACCCUGAUCCAGCGACGCCGCGUGAGUGAAGAAGUAUUUCGGUACGUAAAGCUCUAUCAGCAGGAAAGAAAAUGACGGUACCUGACUAAGAAGCCCCGGCUAACUACGUGCCAACAGCCGCGGUAAUACGUAGGGGGCAAGCGUUAUCCGGAUUUACUGGGGGGAAAGGGAGCGUAGACGGCAGCGCAAGUCUGGAGUGAAAUGCCGGGGCCCAACCCCGGAACUGCUCUGGAAACUGUGAAGCUGGAGUGCAGGAGAGGUAAGCGGAAUUCCUGGUGUAGCGGUGAAAUGCGUAGAUAUCAGGAGGAACACCGGCGGCGAAGGCGGCUUACUGGACUGUAACUGACGUUGAGGCUCGAAGGCGUGGGGAGCAAACAGGAUUAGAUACCCGGGUAGUC